Gossypium raimondii (Peruvian cotton) is the source of this 106-nucleotide non-coding RNA. NCBI's taxonomy places the organism in Eukaryota, Viridiplantae, Streptophyta, Magnoliopsida, Malvales, Malvaceae. The record is from Rfam.
AAACCAUGCAUAGGACAUAUUCUAAGUAAUUCCUUAAAUCUUUCCCAGGCUUGAUAAAGCGUUUCAUCCUCUAAUUACCGAAAUAUAUGAUCUCAUUUCUAAGGUU